GAUGAACGCUGGCGGCGUGCCUAAUACAUGCAAGUCGAGCGAACAGACGAUGAGCUUGCUCCUCGGACGUUAGCGGCGGACGGGUGAGUAACACGUGGAUAACCUACCUAUAAGACUGGGAUAACUUCGGGAAACCGGCGCUAAUACCGGAUAAUAUCUUGAACCGCAGGGUGCAAUAGUGAAAGACGGUGUUGCGGUCACUAAUAGAUGGAUCCGCGCCGGAUUAGCUAGUUGGUAAGUUAACGGCUUACCAAGGCAACGAGGCGUAGCCGACCUGAGAGGGUGAUCGGCCACACUGGAACUGAGACACGGUCCAGACUCCUACGGGAGGCAGCAGUAGGGAAUCUUCCGCAAUGGGCGAAAGUCUGACGGAGCAACGCCGCGUGAGUGAUGACGGUCUUCGGAUCGUAAAACUCUGUUAUUAGGGAAGAACAAAUGUGUAAGUAACUAUGCACGUCUUGACGGUACCUAAUCAGAAAGCCCCGGCUAACUACGUG
RNAcentral lists this ribosomal RNA (497 nucleotides) under uncultured bacterium. RNAcentral describes it as "partial 16S ribosomal RNA". It matches the Rfam family "Bacterial small subunit ribosomal RNA", at positions 28 to 507 of the family's 1533-position model. The record is from RNAcentral.